GGGGGGCCCAUCCUCCAAGGCUAAAUACUCCUGACUGACCGAUAGUGAACCAGUACCGUGAGGGAAAGGCGAAAAGAACCCCGGCGAGGGGAGUGAAAAAGAACCUGAAACCGUGUACGUACAAGCAGUGGGAGCACGCUUAGGCGUGUGACUGCGUACCUUUUGUAUAAUGGGUCAGCGACUUAUAUUCUGUAGCAAGGUUAACCGAAUAGGGGAGCCGAAGGGAAACCGAGUCUUAACUGGGCGUUAAGUUGCAGGGUAUAGACCCGAAACCCGGUGAUCUAGCCAUGGGCAGGUUGAAGGUUGGGUAACACUAACUGGAGGACCGAACCGACUAAUGUUGAAAAAUUAGCGGAUGACUUGUGGCUGGGGGUGAAAGGCCAAUCAAACCGGGAGAUAGCUGGUUCUCCCCGAAAGCUAUUUAGGUAGCGCCUCGUGAAUUCAUCUCCGGGGGUAGAGCACUGUUUCGGCAAGGGGGUCAUCCCGACUUACCAACCCGAUGCAAACUGCGAAUACCGGAGAAUGUUAUCACGGGAGACACACGGCGGGUGCUAACGUCCGUCGUGAAGAGGGAAACAACCCAGACCGCCAGCUAAGGUCCCAAAGUCAUGGUUAAGUGGGAAACGAUGUGGGAAGGCCCAGACAGCCAGGAUGUUGGCUUAGAAGCAGCCAUCAUUUAAAGAAAGCGUAAUAGCUCACUGGUCGAGUCGGCCUGCGCGGAAGAUGUAACGGGGCUAAACCAU
Molecule: ribosomal RNA, 743 nt
Filed under: Shigella sonnei
Lineage: Bacteria; Pseudomonadati; Pseudomonadota; Gammaproteobacteria; Enterobacterales; Enterobacteriaceae
Description: partial 23S ribosomal RNA
Rfam family: Bacterial large subunit ribosomal RNA
Source: RNAcentral